This 447-nucleotide long non-coding RNA is filed under the name Mytilus galloprovincialis (Mediterranean mussel). The record is from RNAcentral. Lineage: Eukaryota; Metazoa; Mollusca; Bivalvia; Mytilida; Mytilidae.
GAGCUGUCAAAAUGACAGUAAACCGGAUUCUUUAACAUUUAUUUGUGUUCUGGCAUUUAUCAAUAUUACAAAGACCAAAACUCCUAAUAGGUAAAAUUUAUGAUUAUCAAUAUCAAACUUGACUUCCAUGUUGUCAACAAUAACAACAUAUAAAUACCUUUAUCAAUCAUAGAAUGCUUCUAAAGUUAAUGAAUCCCAUUUCUGUUGUAUAAUCUGCCAAUAAUACUCGGGUAACACAAUUUUUCAAUCUUUCAAGAACCGAAAGGUUUGGUUGAACGGUUCAUGAGCAAAUGCACGGACACGACAUUUUUUAAACUUUCAAGAACCGUAACUCCUGAACGGUAAAAGUCAAAAUCGUCAUUAUUGAACUUGACCUCCGUUAUGUUGUCAGUAACAACAUAUUAAAAUUUUAAAAGGUUUGGUUGAACGGUUCAUGAGUAAAUGCAC